Molecule: ribosomal RNA, 228 nt
Filed under: uncultured bacterium
Lineage: Bacteria
Description: partial 16S ribosomal RNA
Rfam family: Bacterial small subunit ribosomal RNA
Source: RNAcentral
UCCGUAGGCGGGCUAAUAAGUCAGGGGUGAAAUCCCACAGCUUAACUGUGGAACUGCCUUUGAUACUGUUAGUCUUGAGUUAUAUGGAAGUAGAUAGAAUGUGCAGUGUAGCGGUGAAAUGCAUAGAUAUUACACAGAAUACCGAUUGCGAAGGCAGUCUACUACGUAUAUACUGACGCUAAUGGACGAAAGCGUGGGGAGCGAACAGGAUUAGAUACCCUGGUAGUC